RNAcentral lists this ribosomal RNA (433 nucleotides) under uncultured bacterium. RNAcentral's name for it is "partial 16S ribosomal RNA". It matches the Rfam family "Bacterial small subunit ribosomal RNA", at positions 29 to 507 of the family's 1533-position model. The record is from RNAcentral.
AACGAACGCUGGCGGCAUGCCUAACACAUGCAAGUCGAACGAGACCUUCGGGUCUAGUGGCGCACGGGUGCGUAACGCGUGGGAACCUGCCCUUAGGUUCGGAAUAACUCCCCGAAAGGGGUGCUAAUACCGGAUAAUGUCUUCGGACCAAAGAUUUAUCGCCUUUGGAUGGGCCCGCGUUGGAUUAGCUAGUUGGUAGGGUAAAAGCCUACCAAGGCGACGAUCCAUAGCUGGUCUGAGAGGAUGAUCAGCCACACUGGGACUGAGACACGGCCCAGACUCCUACGCAAGGCAGCAGUGGGGAAUAUUGGACAAUGGGCGAUAGCCUGAUCCAGCAAUGCCGCGUGAGUGAUGAAGGCCUUAGGGUUGUAAAGCUCUUUUACCCGGGAUGAUAAUGACAGUACCGGGAGAAUAAGCUCCGGCUAACUCCGUG